Non-coding RNA from Schizosaccharomyces pombe (fission yeast), 1402 nucleotides. Lineage: Eukaryota; Fungi; Ascomycota; Schizosaccharomycetes; Schizosaccharomycetales; Schizosaccharomycetaceae. The record is from the annotation of a GenBank genome assembly.
AAAUAAGCAAAAGCAUAGAGAAAAAAAAAAGGCGUACUGUAAUGAAACAUAAAAAUUCUAAAAGAAACUCCAAUGUAAUAAAAUAAAAUCAAUUCAAUAAAUUUUAAUAGAUUUCCUUCUCAUCCAUUUCUUCCUCGUAACCCAAACACACCGUAUUACUAUGCCCUUCACUAUUGCUCAUCUCUGUUCACCUCUUAUUCAACUCUUGCAUAUACUUAAACUUAACACCUUCUCGCCCUGCUUCUCCUUCUCCUUCUACCUCUCCUGAAAAUUUUCAUUCCUCUCUGGUUGGUCCCCUCUGCUGGGUUUCUCUUUGCCGUUUACCCUAUUCCAGCUACAGGGAAGCUUUGCGCAAAGCGUUGGGAAGGUGAAUCUUCUCGGCAAACUCGUUUUUUCUUGGUGGAAGUACCACCCUGUCCUUCACUGCAUUACGUUAUUGUGGUCUCGUUCUGGAAAAGUAUAAAUAGAUAUAUAUGUGCGGGAAGGAGAGACGUGGGGAGGGAAAACAAGGUAAAAAAAAAAGAAAAAUAUAAUAAUAAUAAUUAAUAAUAAUAAAUAAAAUCUGUAAAUUUUUUUAUGAUAUUUUGUAACUAAUUGAAGGAAAAAAAGAGGAAUAGGAAUAGGAAUAAAGUGAACCUUCUAAAAAAUUCCUUUUUUACUAUCAUCAUCAUCAUCCUAUUUUGUCUUGCCUUGAAGAAAUGCCAUCAUGCUCUCGUACAGAUUAAUCAGAUGAAGCCCAACAUUAAGAUAUGAUAGAUAGUCAACUACCACACAUAGCGUCAUUAUGAGCAAGUUUCAAAGAAAUCGCCAACAUACAGAUCUACACAUACAAAAUAGCUUUUAGCACACCGAUUUGACGAGUUCCCCCGACUCGAUAGGUAAUGUAAGAAAGGGGACAUUCUUUUUAGUACCCAUCAAUUCAGUAGUCUUUGUUAACUUUUGGUUCUGGUGCAUAUUUUAUUUUAUUUUAUUUAAAAAAUUUAGAAUUUAUUUUUUAAAUGCAUCCCUUUUUUUUUUUUUUCUUGUAUUUUUUACAAAGCCUUUUUUCCAUAAAUCUUCCUAUAUUAUUUUGCCGCCGAUUUCGCCUCGUUCAACUCUGUCUUACAAAGUCUGUGAUUUCAUAGAUAAGAGAAAUCAUUGAUUUUUAAACGGAAUCACUUACGUAGAAAUGCGUUGAUCGACGAUGAGAAUUGGCAAUGUGCAAGUAACUUGACAUACAAAACGACGAAUGGAAUGGACGGAUGUGUCACAUUCAUAUGACCAAGAAUCAUGCAUAUGCAUUCUUUUUCUUUAUCAAAAAACCUUCGUAAGCAAGCUACAUUUCGACGUAAUCCUUGCCUUGCCUUACCUUGCCAAUGAAUUCACAUGCAGUUUGAUUUUGAUGUAGAAAUGCUUUCAUAAA